UUGCUCUUCUUCUUCUUCUUCAUUCUUCAAAACCCUAAACCAAAAAAUAAAUAUCUUUGUAAGAGUUUGACAUGAUGUUUCGUUAUCUUCUCCGGUUAACGUCUUCAUAAAAAAGAAACGCCGAUGAUGAUCAGAUUGCUUUCUGCAUCAUCAGAUGGAUCCAUCUCUGAAUUCCGAUGAUUCUUCUUCUCCAUCCAAUCCAAAGUAGACAUCAUUCAAGUAUAAAAGCCGAUCGAUGAUGAUCAGAUCAAUCGAUCUGUGUAAUGAUCUCCAUCCAUCUCCCGAGUCUUCACCGAGUCAUUUUUGUUUAUAUAUGAGUAGGUCAAUGCUGGAGGAACCAACACCAAAAGGCUUGAUGACACUGAGAAAACCUUUACUCAGAGCUUCUUCGUGUAUUGAUUUAUGCAACUAUGAAUCCAGAUGAACGUGUACUGCCCACUAAGCUAAAAUUAAAGCCAUUAUGCAAGCCCCUGAACAUCGGAUCAUCGGAUCGGAUCCAUCUCUGCAAUGCUAUGGCCUAUGCUCAGGUGGCAAUGGCAUGGAUGUAAUACAACAAACUAUGGUGAAGAGAAUGGGUUGGUUUCUCUGUUUCCAUUAUUCGUUUGAUCGAUUCAGGUAAGCCUGACUCAUCAAUAUGUAUGUAUUUGUCUCAAUUUUUUGUGCUACAUCUACAUGUGUAUGUUUUUUUUGAAUAGCAUAUAGAAUGUAAUAUGUGUUUCACGUGUUUGGUGUUUCUUUUAGACCCUAAAUGUGACUGUGGGUAUACAAUUAAGAUGUAUCAGAACGAGAAUUGUUUUCUGGGGAAUGUAGUGUCAUCUUACUCAU
Molecule: long non-coding RNA, 825 nt
Organism: Camelina sativa (false flax)
Lineage: Eukaryota; Viridiplantae; Streptophyta; Magnoliopsida; Brassicales; Brassicaceae
Source: RefSeq, a predicted model, not a curated record